CCUACGGGUGGCAGCAGUGAGGAAUAUUGGUCAAUGGCCGCUAGCCUGAACCAGCCAAGUAGCGUGAAGGAUGACUGCUCUAUGGGUUGUAAACUUCUUUUAUAUGGGAAUAAAGUUCUCUACGUAUACUUCUUUGCAUGUACCCUAUGAAUAAGGAUCGGCUAACUCCGUGCCAGCAGCCGCGGUAAUACGGAGGAUGCGAGCGUUAUCCGGAUUUAUUGGGUUUAAAGGGGUCGUAGGCGGGUUGUUAAGUCAGUUGUGAAAGUUUGGGGCUCAACCUUAAAAUUGCAUUUGAUACGGGCAUCCUUGAGUACAGAAGAGGUAGGCGGAAUACGUGAAGUAGCGGUGAAAUGCUUAGAUAUAACGAAGAACUCCGAUAGCGAAGGCAGCCUGCUAGACUGUGACUGACGCUGAUGCACGAGAGUGUGGGUAGCAAACAGGAUUAGAUACCCUAGUAGUC
Molecule: ribosomal RNA, 460 nt
Filed under: uncultured bacterium
Lineage: Bacteria
Description: partial 16S ribosomal RNA
Rfam family: Bacterial small subunit ribosomal RNA
Source: RNAcentral